AAUGUACUCCCUCCGUUUGGAAUUACUUGUCACAGAAAUGGAUGUAUCUAGACAUAUUUUAGUUCUAGAUACAUCCAUUUUCGAGACAAGUAAUUCCGAACGGAGGGAGUAGUCA
Non-coding RNA from Triticum urartu, 115 nucleotides. NCBI's taxonomy places the organism in Eukaryota, Viridiplantae, Streptophyta, Magnoliopsida, Poales, Poaceae. The record is from Rfam.